RNAcentral lists this ribosomal RNA (826 nucleotides) under uncultured Bacteroidota bacterium. RNAcentral's name for it is "bacterial SSU rRNA". It matches the Rfam family "Bacterial small subunit ribosomal RNA", at positions 74 to 896 of the family's 1533-position model. Lineage: Bacteria; Pseudomonadati; Bacteroidota. The record is from RNAcentral.
GAAAGCUUGCUUUCCUUGAUGACGACUGGCGCACGGGUGAGUAACGCGUAUCCAACCUUCCCAUAACUACGGGAUAACCCGUUGAAAGACGGCCUAAUACCGUAUGAUAUCGUUUGCUGACAUCAAAUAACGAUUAAAGGUUUAGCGGUUAUGGAUGGGGAUGCGUCUGAUUAGCUUGUUGGCGGGGUAACGGCCCACCAAGGCUACGAUCAGUAGGGGUUCUGAGAGGAAGGUCCCCCACAUUGGAACUGAGACACGGUCCAAACUCCUACGGGAGGCAGCAGUGAGGAAUAUUGGUCAAUGGGCGAGAGCCUGAACCAGCCAAGUAGCGUGCAGGAUGACGGCCCUAUGGGUUGUAAACUGCUUUUAUGUGGGGAUAAAGUGCGUGACGUGUCAUGCAUUGCAGGUACCACAUGAAUAAGGACCGGCUAAUUCCGUGCCAGCAGCCGCGGUAAUACGGAAGGUCCGGGCGUUAUCCGGAUUUAUUGGGUUUAAAGGGAGCGUAGGCUGUCUAUUAAGCGUGUUGUGAAAUUUACCGGCUCAACCGGUGGCUUGCAGCGCGAACUGGUCGACUUGAGUAUGCAGGAAGUAGGCGGAAUUCAUGGUGUAGCGGUGAAAUGCUUAGAUAUCAUGACGAACUCCGAUUGCGCAGGCAGCUUACUGUAGCAUAACUGACGCUGAUGCUCGAAAGUGCGGGUAUCAAACAGGAUUAGAUACCCUGGUAGUCCGCACGGUAAACGAUGGAUGCUCGCUAUUCGUCCUAUUUGGAUGAGUGGCCAAGUGAAAACAUUAAGCAUCCCACCUGGGGAGUACGCCGGCAACGGUG